CAGUCGCCACGGUAAUACGAAGGGUGCAAGCGUUAAUCGGAAUUACUGGGCGUAAAGCGUGCGUAGGCGGUUUGUUAAGUCUGUUGUGAAAUCCCCGGGCUCAACCUGGGAAUGGCAAUGGAUACUGGCAAGCUAGAGUGUGUCAGAGGAUGGUGGAAUUCCCGGUGUAGCGGUGAAAUGCGUAGAGAUCGGGAGGAACAUCAGUGGCGAAGGCGGCCAUCUGGGACAACACUGACGCUGAGGCACGAAAGCGUGGGGAGCAAACAGGAUUAGAUACCCGCGUAGUCCCUGUCUCUUAUAC
This 301-nucleotide ribosomal RNA is filed under the name uncultured bacterium. Its description in RNAcentral is "partial 16S ribosomal RNA". It matches the Rfam family "Bacterial small subunit ribosomal RNA", at positions 509 to 807 of the family's 1533-position model. The record is from RNAcentral.